Molecule: ribosomal RNA, 200 nt
Filed under: uncultured bacterium
Lineage: Bacteria
Description: partial 16S ribosomal RNA
Rfam family: Bacterial small subunit ribosomal RNA
Source: RNAcentral
GAUGAACGCUAGCGGCAGGCUUAAUACAUGCAAGGCGAAGGGGCAGCAAUGUCACUGUCGUACGGGUGCGUAACGCGUAUGCAACCUACCUAUCACUGGGGGAUAGCCCGGGGAAACCCGGAUUAAUACCGCAUAAUACAGGGGUAUCACAUGGUACUAUUUGUUAAAGAUUUAUCGGUGGUAGAUGAGCAUGCGUUCGA